This 3088-nucleotide long non-coding RNA is filed under the name Coffea arabica (coffee). Its description in RNAcentral is "long non-coding RNA (CARA_LNC006008)". Lineage: Eukaryota; Viridiplantae; Streptophyta; Magnoliopsida; Gentianales; Rubiaceae. The record is from RNAcentral.
AAAAGCCAAGACAAAGUCAAAAGUAAUAGAAACCCUAAACAAAAGCGUAGUAGGAAGGUUUCUUCGAUACAUCGCCAAGUUCAAUCCUGUUAAGGAAAACAAAUCUACAGGGUGAGUAAAACGCUCGUGAGGCCAAGAACACACAUGCAGGCACAUAGCUCAGGUAACAAGCCAAGUAACAAUUCAAGUAAUAAAUUUCAAGUAAUUAAUAAUGCCAACAAAAUGUAACCAAAACAAUUCAAGGAUAUGGUAGCUCUCAGGAGCUAAGUUCCACAUUUUGCCGAUGUCAUUCGUAUAUCUCCCUGCGUUGACUCUCCGUCAACCGGGUUGAUAUUUCAUAUCCGUAGUUCACCACUUACUUCUCAUCCGUCCACCAUAUACCGCUUCGGGCCCGCACGAUAUUUAGAAGGUUAUACUCCACGAGUAUGCCAAGCAAGAUCUCUCAAAUAGAUCAAACUUAUCAUGUAAUUCUCAUGGCUCACCAAGGUUCCCGACCAAGCCCAUGCCGGCUCGAGUUCCAAGGUCGGCCUAUGAGUUUGGGCGUCCCCCAUGUAUCAUGUAAGUGUCGAGGAGAUUCACUCCAACGACAUAUGCAAUCAUAGCAUACCAUGUCAUGUAUUCAAGCAUUUGACAGGUUUAAGCAGGCAUUUCAAGUCAUGUAACCAGGCAAAUCAUAUUAAGCAUGAGUCAUUCGUUUCAAAUGAGAACGAGUGCGAUCAAGUACACACUCGACUCCAUUUUUGUCAAAAUCGAAUAGGCUACGCAUGUAAUCAGGUAAGUCAAGCAUGAAUCAAGUCCUUAGAGUUCAAGUAAUCAUACACUUGACACUCACCAAGUUCUGCAAGCAAGUAGGUUGGAUUGAGAGUUCAAACUUCCACGGUAGGGUCCUCUUGGAGGUCCUCGUGCACGCCUGAACAUCGAAUAGUAGAUAAUUACUAUAGGUCCCUAGGUGGUGAGAAAGUUUGAACAUGAGUAAGGUUCGGAAAUAUUUUGAAAACUUCGUUUGGCUUGUCUUUGAAGUUGGAUUUCCAAAAGGGUGCAGGACUCGAGUAAAAUCGGAUUAUUAUCCUUAAAAUCAUUGGUUGGAAACGAGUACGAGCGAAACAAUUGCUAAACAAACGAUCGAAAUCGGAAGUGGGCUGGCCAUGUCACAAUCCGGCCGGAACCUGGCCAGAUAUCCGGCCGGAUUCUUGGCCGGAUUGGAGGUAGUAGCCAUCCUCAUUUUUUUUUCAAAUUCCAACUACAAUCCGGCCGCCUAUCCGGCCAGAAACUGGCCAGAUUCAAGGCCAGAUUCUAGAAAAAUACUUCCCGCGCGGAUUUCUUUUGAAAUUCCAGAAUUUUCGAUUUUUGGAAAAAUCUUUGAAAAAUCAUAACUUCCUUUCUACUGGUCAAAAAUUGAUAAACUUAGUACCGUUAGAAUCAUCUUUGAAAGUACUAAAAGUUUCUAGAAAACACUAUUCCACGAAUCUAAAUGGAAGGUAUUCAAAAAAUGAGUUUAAAGUUGCUGUCCCAGAUCACCCAGGAUUGAGCCGGGGUUGGUUUUUCGCUAACUUUGGAAAUUCGGCAGAAUUCACUCGUUGCAAACCAACCCUUGAAAUUUAUAGCUCAAUUAGAGGUGCAAGUAAGGUUUAGGGUAGAACAAACAGAUCGAGAAUCGGAGUUUCGAGCACCAAGAUAUGGUAGCUCAAAGUUGGGAAAAAUUCAAGACUGUUACAAAAUUUCCAGAUUUGGUUCCGACUUUGGACCUUUUGUUAAGUCUCGAAACGGACUUCAAUUGAUACCAAAUUUUGUAGUAUAAAACUCCUAUAUGAAGGGUAUCUCUCUAUCAAAUUUCGUGGAAAAAUACCUUCGGAAAGGUGGUUAACCAAUCAACCAAAUUUGGAAAAAUUCUCAAGGUAAUCUGUCCUUAAUCCUUUUCUUCCCAAAUCCAAACGUUUGGCUAAGAAAAUCCUCCAAUCAUGGUUCAUAUGUGAAAAGAAAGUUUAAGAAACAUUCAUGGUACAUUUGGUAGGUGUUUAGCAUCAAGAAAUUCGUUUAGUAAGACCACCACAAAUGUCACGUCAAAUCUGUCCAAAUCCAAGGCUUUCAAGAACAAAACAGUCACCGUAUUUUGAUCAUAACUCACUCAAUUUAACUCGGAUUUGAGCAUGGUUGAUAGUGUUAGAAAAUACAUUCAUAGGGCUAUAAUUUUACAGAAGAAAUCAUUUUAAGUUUCAGCAUGCAACUAGCUCGAAAUUAAGCCCAAAGUUGCAGCAUCAUCAAAUCAUUUCGGCAGAACGGCGAAACAGGGCAGCUGAAUUCAGAUGAGUGGUGCGGUUCACACACAUGGAACCAGAACAUGCAUUAUAUACCGUUGGAAAGAUAAGAAUGUCUAGUUUCAAAUGCCGCUAACAGCACUUGAUUUCGACUUCGGAGUACGGAGUUAUGGACGAAAUACGAACACUGAUCUGGAUUACGACGAAACCGUUUUCCAGAUUACUAGCUUUGGAAAUAAAUUCGUUUAACCAACCAAAACUCAGUAUUUUUCAAUGAAAAUUUUUACACAACUACUAAAACAUAUAAACAACACAAUCAAGACAUUAAAUCUUCAAAUUUCUGCAUUAAAGUGACCGAACAGAGCAGGGGUAAAAUGGGAACUUUUUGCUUCAAGAGCUCAAUACAGUUUCUGGCGAUAAUGCACCUCUAAGCUACUUCCUUAAGCACUAAUUCAACAAUAAAACCAUCUUCAAACAUCAUCACAGCCAUCAACUCAAAGUGGGAGUUCAUAGAGCCCACAUUUAACAAUUUCCAACAAUAAUAAGCUACCCAUAAGCAUAAUCAAGCUCUUAAGUGUAAGUUAGCCUUCAUUGAACUAGAUUUGAAGAGUGGAUCAUGGUUACCUUACUUGUGUGCUAAAAGGUCAGAUUCUGGUGUCCAAAAGUCCCAAGAAAAACCGUGAGUGUGCAGCUCCUUCUUUGUCCAAGUGAUUGUCCAAGUGAUGAGCUAAACGUAUGUGAAGUUUUGGUUGAAUCUAUGGAGGUUUGGUAGUGAUUUUUGUGAGCUUUGCAGAAGGAAUGGUGAAGAGCUGCGGCUGCAAGCUAUCCGUCCA